RNAcentral lists this small nuclear RNA (307 nucleotides) under Urocitellus parryii (Arctic ground squirrel). RNAcentral describes it as "7SK RNA (ENSUPAG00010020650.1)". It matches the Rfam family "7SK RNA". From Rfam's summary of the family: 7SK was discovered as an abundant small nuclear RNA in the mid-70s but a possible function has only recently been suggested. Two independent studies have found that 7SK RNA binds the CDK9/cyclin T complex (known as elongation factor P-TEFb). Lineage: Eukaryota; Metazoa; Chordata; Mammalia; Rodentia; Sciuridae. The record is from Rfam by way of RNAcentral.
AGAUAUGUGAGUAACCUGGCCAUAUCAUCUGUCAUUCCACUGAUUGCCAGGCUUGAUUUGGCUAAUCUGCUGACUUGGAGCAUUCCUUUUUCUCCCCCACCACUCCAUAUGCAGCCCUUUUGAAGCUACAUAGUUAAAGUGAGGACCUUCCCUUAAUAGAGGAGGACCAAUAGAAGAGAACCAUUUUUGGUUAAGGCUAUAUGAAUAGCUGCACUUCUCUGAUAGAACCUCCAAAAAAACUCUCAAAAUACUCAAAGGAAAAGUAAAUGACUAAUAAAGAGCACUGUAUCUGGCAAAGCUGUACUGA